RNAcentral lists this transfer RNA (107 nucleotides) under Ornithorhynchus anatinus (platypus). It matches the Rfam family "tRNA". From Rfam's summary of the family: Transfer RNA (tRNA) molecules are approximately 80 nucleotides in length. The record is from Rfam by way of RNAcentral. Lineage: Eukaryota; Metazoa; Chordata; Mammalia; Monotremata; Ornithorhynchidae.
GUUAGGAUAACCUAGUGGUUUAAGGUGCCAGAGUCAAGUUGUUACUUUCUCCAGUUGGGGCUUUUGACCUCCGAAUGGAGGUGUGGGUUCAAAUCCCACUUUUGACA